Papaver somniferum (opium poppy) is the source of this 2256-nucleotide long non-coding RNA. RefSeq lists it as uncharacterized. Lineage: Eukaryota; Viridiplantae; Streptophyta; Magnoliopsida; Ranunculales; Papaveraceae. The record is from RefSeq and is a predicted model, not a curated record. The transcript is spliced from 9 exons.
UGAAUUAGGGUAUUUUUUUCCUCAUCGUUCUCCCGAUUGUUAGCAAGCGUUGCAGAAGCCAUUCAAUCCUUUUGAUUCAUACCCGGAUGCGUUACGCUAGAACAAAACAUAAACCUUAACAAAGGUUAUCAUCUUCCCAAGUUCUCCAUUUCUUUCUUGAGCAUAUUCUCUCCAGUCUCGAGAGUCGAGACUACCAGGUGAGUACUAUCUUAUAAUGUUUCUUUAGAUUUGAUUAGUUUCUUCAAUUGGAUUUCUGUUUCUUCCCUAUCUUCAUGACCAAAUUAAAUUAGUACUGUCUCUUAAUUUUUCUUUGAAUAUUCUUCAACCUGCCUACAUAUGGAUUCAUAUCUUUAUUUUUGUCUUUGCCUUUGUUGCCUAAAAUUAGGACUUUUCUUCCCUACUCGAUCAUUAACUUCUUUUUUUUCUUUUUUCUUUUGAUAGAAUACAAGAUCAUUAAGUGGGUAACUUGAUUUUGUGUUUAUGCCAAGACGUUACAAAAAUAAAAGAUACCCAUUAACAACACUAUUAUUUCUGCUUCCCUAACCUCAGAAAAGUUACCUUACAAUGGUUCUCAGUGCAUGCGUAUUUUUUUUGGUACUGUUGUAGGUUUUUGUUGGUUUAAAUUUUCUCUGAUUCUGAUUUUGCUGUUGCAUAUUUUGUGAGUGCAUGAUAUAUUUGGAGACAAACCAGUAUCAAUCUCAGGGUCAAUUGCAAUUCAACUUCGUUUAACCAUUGGCAUUACAACCUCCGUGGAGAAGACCCUUCAACUCUAUAAAAAGAAGAACAACUUUAUGUGCAAUCACAAAUGCUACUCUAUCCUCUACCUGGAAUUGCAAUUCACUGUUUUUUUUUUGGUCUAGCACGCGAAGCUCAAGCUAUGCUAAUUUUUUAACAUUCUAGGAUGAUUAGUGAGAGAAAGAGACAAAAAGUACAGAGCGGCUUACAAAUCCCAGAAAGAGUACGGAAGAUUUGAGACCAGGCACAAUAUAGUCUUGGAUGCAUGUUUUACGCAACAUGUUCUGAGGCUUACUUGCAAAUCUAUAUCAUCCCAAGCUUCCCCAAUGGGAUUGAUUAGCAGACUUAAUAGAGCUGUUAAUAGGGAUCCUUUUCGGUAACGUAUAAUCAAAUAAAAAUUGAUUAUCAGAAAUUAUGGUGCCGGUCAUGGGAGAAUUGAUUGUAUAGCAUAUGAAAAUUGAAGGGAGAAGCAGUCAAGGUGAAAGGUUUUCGCUGAUUUUAUUACUACAACAGAUGUGGUGGGUGUGCUAAUCAGUUGGAUAAAUUUACAGGAAAUGAAAGAGAGCCAAUGGUUAACCUUGCAUGAUGCGCGACCUUACUCUUCAGAAUCUUAGGUACAUUACCGAAUUAUUGUCAAAGCCAGUGCCACUCGAAUUUUGGCUACCACCAAGUGGUAAUAUUUGGGCUGCAACAAGUGCGCACCACUACAGUGGUAGGUGAAGUCGAGAACCAUGAAUGCACUAAAUGUGAAAACAAGGUCGAGGAACCUGUAACGCGGUACCUUCUUCGUUUCAAAGUGACAAACUAUAUCGGCAGGACCAUAUUUGCGUCGGUGGACAGUGAAGUCUGAUGGUUCAUCCACCCCACUGCCUUGGACAUAGUCAGGAGGAAGAGGAAAGUGAAAGGUGGUUGCAUCUUUUGAUAAGAUCCUCCUGAAUGUUGAGCUACCAAAUUGUGCUUGCAGUGUAUAACGUGAAAAAGCAAACCACCCCCAUGAAGCCCAACCUCCCUUCCAUCUACUACUGCACCUGCAUAUAACGUGACCUUGAUGCGGAUGAUUAAACACUAACUGCAAAGACCCGGUUGUCCCCUAAACGCCACCUCCACUUUGGUUUAUAUAGCGAUGAAGACUAGCUUUGUAAUUCCAUUCAAAAAAAUCAUACUUCUCUGCCAUACACACAGGGUCAAUGUUAAUCAAUAACGGGCACUACGGUAGGUGAUUAAAGUUAAGGAGGGAUGACUUUAACAAAAUAUCAAUAAAUGGUAGAAUCUGUCUUCGCAAGGUUGGUAACUCACCUCUUCAAGGUUAAUAACUUGGAUCGCAAUGUUGUGAAUUGGGUUAUACGAUUAUCUGGAUAUGAAAUUUAAGAAUUAUUGUUUUUGUUCUUUCAGUGGAUAACCAUAACAAUGAAACCAAGUGUUGUUGUCCAGGAAUGUUUGUCUAUGCCCGUCAACAUUCUGAAUCAUUACCGUGGGUAAUUUUAUAGUUCAAAAUUAUAAGAAACUUAUACUUGCAUUCUA